RNAcentral lists this long non-coding RNA (244 nucleotides) under Phaseolus vulgaris (common bean). Its description in RNAcentral is "long non-coding RNA (PVUL_LNC003486)". Lineage: Eukaryota; Viridiplantae; Streptophyta; Magnoliopsida; Fabales; Fabaceae. The record is from RNAcentral.
UUUUACAUUUUAAUUUGUUUGGUGUGCUUUGUGGAAGAUCCAACCGAAGCACUCUUGUUCAAUUGAUCUUGAACAAGUUCUUGUGCAAUUUGUGAUAGGAUUCCAUACACCUUUGAGUUGCUAUUUUCUUUUAGGCUUUUGAGUCUUUAUUGCUUUCAUUAUUUGGUUCAUAUUAUGCUUUGAGUCUUUAAUUUUCUGAAUCCAUACAUGUUUUGUCAAGUCAUGUUCAUCCAUAUUGUCAACA